AUCUUUCCACCGGCGGGAACAAUACUUGCUUCCCAACCAAAUAGACGCCACCGUCAUCUGCUGCUGUCUACCUCCUCUCCUCAUCAAUCUUCAAAUCGGUUGCCUCUACCGGUUAACAUGUUACGGUUUGCAUCUUCUCAUGUCCUUCUAGCUUUUCCUUGCGCAAGGACGUCUUUCAAAUGGUGGGCUUGGAACUUGACACACUCAUUUUCCUUCGAUGAUUUGUUGAAUGGAUAAUACUUCUUUCGCAUUUCAAGUUCAAAGAGUCAGCUCCGAAUUGUGGUUGUGGAUCACCCUUUAUUUAAUUUGGAAGCAUCGAAACAAUCAGACAAACCGAAUGAGGAGCUUGAUCGGUUCUUCACGAUGCAGAUUCUUGCGUUCAACUGGAUCUCUAGGCAUGUCAAAGGUUUCAACUUGUCAUGAUGGAAUGAUGUUAGAUCGAGGUCAAUAUUUCAUUGUCUAGUACGUUUUACACUCGCGAGUUUUGUCAUGUUUCCUUGUCUUGCGUCUUAUAUAAAAGGUUUUUGUUCUUGAA
Cynara cardunculus var. scolymus (artichoke) is the source of this 535-nucleotide long non-coding RNA. RefSeq lists it as uncharacterized. The record is from RefSeq and is a predicted model, not a curated record. Lineage: Eukaryota; Viridiplantae; Streptophyta; Magnoliopsida; Asterales; Asteraceae. The transcript has 2 exons.